Molecule: non-coding RNA, 99 nt
Organism: Lactarius quietus
Lineage: Eukaryota; Fungi; Basidiomycota; Agaricomycetes; Russulales; Russulaceae
Source: the annotation of a GenBank genome assembly
GCCCGCCUAGCUCAAUCGGAUAGAGCGUCAGACUCUUAUGGCGGGAGUACACACCUUUGUGUGAUCUGAAGGCUGCGAGUUCGACCCUCGCGGUGGGCU